Molecule: ribosomal RNA, 254 nt
Filed under: uncultured bacterium
Lineage: Bacteria
Description: partial 16S ribosomal RNA
Rfam family: Bacterial small subunit ribosomal RNA
Source: RNAcentral
UACGUAGGGUGCGAGCGUUGUCCGGAAUUACUGGGCGUAAAGAGCUCGUAGGUGGUUUGUCGCGUUGUCCGUGAAAACUCACAGCUUAACUGUGGGCGUGCGGGCGAUACGGGCAGACUGGAGUACUGCAGGGGAGACUGGAAUUCCUGGUGUAGCGGUGGAAUGCGCAGAUAUCAGGAAGAACACCCGUGGCGAAGGCGGCUCUCUGGGGACGGUACUGACGCUGAGACGCGAAAGCGUGGGGAGCAAACAGG